AUGUGUGUCCCGAAGAAGAAGGGAGGAAUGGGGUUUCGAGGCCUUCACAACUUCAACCUUGCUAUGUUAGCGAAGCAGUGUUGGCGUCUUCUCCAGAACCCUGACUCCUUGUGUGCACGUGUUCUCGGUGCAAAAUAUUACCCUAAUGGUGAUAUUCUAAAAGCUGGCCCUAAGAAAGGUUCUUCGUUUACGUGGCAAAGUAUAGUUGCCGGCAUACAAACUUUUAAGAGAGGGUGUAUUUGGCGAGUGGGCAGUUCUCAGACAGAUAUUUGGGAGGAUCCAUGGAUUCCAUCUAGUGAAACAAGGAAACCGAUAACCCCGAGAGGUGGAAUUAUGUUAUCAAAAGUGCAGGAUAUAAUUGAUCCCCGCACAGGACAAUGGGAUGAGCCCCUCAUCCAAAGCGUGUUCUCACCAGUUGAUGUGUACAGAAUACUCCAAAUCCCACUCCAUGUUGAAGCUAUGGAAGAUUUUGUGGAUUGGCACCACACAAGAUCUGGAACCUUCUCGGUUCGUUCGACACAUCAUGUGGAGCUUGAUCACCAAUUCGGACGUCAUUACACAAAUCUGUAUAGUUCAGGCGGUGCCCAACUGAAUCCGGUUUGGAAGGAGUUAUGGAAGCUCCGUCUACCAGGAAAGAUUUAG
RNAcentral lists this ribosomal RNA (642 nucleotides) under Triticum aestivum (bread wheat). Its description in RNAcentral is "partial small subunit ribosomal RNA". Lineage: Eukaryota; Viridiplantae; Streptophyta; Magnoliopsida; Poales; Poaceae. The record is from RNAcentral.